RNAcentral lists this transfer RNA (73 nucleotides) under Ovis aries (sheep). It matches the Rfam family "tRNA". From Rfam's summary of the family: Transfer RNA (tRNA) molecules are approximately 80 nucleotides in length. Their secondary structure includes four short double-helical elements and three loops (D, anti-codon, and T loops). Lineage: Eukaryota; Metazoa; Chordata; Mammalia; Artiodactyla; Bovidae. The record is from Rfam by way of RNAcentral.
UCCCUGGCAGCCCAGUGGGUAGGACUUAGUACUUUCAUUGCCAUGGACCUGGGUUCAAUCCCUGGUCAGGGAA